AGUGGCGAACGGGUGAGUAAUGCAUCGGAACGUACCGUGUAGUGGGGGAUAACGUAGCGAAAGUUACGCUAAUACCGCAUACGCCCUGAGGGGGAAAGUGGGGGACCGCAAGGCCUCACGCUAUAUGAGCGGCCGAUGUCGGAUUAGCUAGUUGGUAGGGUAAAGGCCUACCAAGGCGACGAUCCGUAGCGGGUCUGAAAGGAUGAUCCGCCACACUGGGACUGAGACACGGCCCACACUCCUACGGGAGGCAGCAGUGGGGAAUUUUGGACAAUGGGCGCAAGCCUGAUCCAGCCAUGCCGCGUGAGUGAAGAAGGCCUUCGGGUUGUAAAGCUCUUUCAGACGGAAAGAAAUCUCUCGGGAUAACACCCUGGGAGGAUGACGGUACCGUAAAAAGAAGUACCGGCUAACUACGUGCCAGCAGCCGCGGUAAUACGUAGGGUGCGAGCGUUAAUCGGAAUUACUGGGCGUAAAGCGUGCGCAGGCGGUGAUGUAAGACAGAUGUGACCUCCCCGGGCUCAACCUGGGAACUGCGUUUGUGACUGCAUCACUCGAGUACGGCAGAGGGGAGGUGGAAUUCCGCGUGUAGCAGUGAAAUGCGUAUAUAUGCGGAGGAACCACCGAAUGGCGAAGGCAGCCUCCUGGGCCAGUACUGACGCUCAUGCACGAAAGCGUGG
Molecule: ribosomal RNA, 677 nt
Filed under: uncultured Zoogloea sp.
Lineage: Bacteria; Pseudomonadati; Pseudomonadota; Betaproteobacteria; Rhodocyclales; Zoogloeaceae
Description: bacterial SSU rRNA
Rfam family: Bacterial small subunit ribosomal RNA
Source: RNAcentral